GAUGAACGCUAGCUACAGGCUUAACACAUGCAAGUCGAGGGGAAACGAUGAGAGAGCUUGCUCUCUUAGUCGUCGACCGGCGCACGGGUGAGUAACGCGUAUCCAACCUGCCUCUGACCAAGGGAUAACCCGUCGAGAGUCGGACUAAUACCUUAUGCAGUCGUCGGAAGUCAUCUGAUGACGACGAAAGAUUUCAUCGGUGAGAGAUGGGGAUGCGUCUGAUUAGCUUGUUGGCGGGGUAACGGCCCACCAAGGCGACGAUCAGUAGGGGUUCUGAGAGGAAGGUCCCCCACAUUGGAACUGAGACACGGUCCAAACUCCUACGGGAGGCAGCAGUGAGGAAUAUUGGUCAAUGGGCGUAAGCCUGAACCAGCCAAGUAGCGUGCAGGAUGACGGCCCUAUGGGUUGUAAACUGCUUUUAUGCGGGGAUAAAGUGAGGGACGUGUCCUUCAUUGCAGGUACCGCAUGAAUAAGGACCGGCUAAUUCCGUG
RNAcentral lists this ribosomal RNA (491 nucleotides) under uncultured bacterium. Its description in RNAcentral is "partial 16S ribosomal RNA". It matches the Rfam family "Bacterial small subunit ribosomal RNA", at positions 28 to 507 of the family's 1533-position model. The record is from RNAcentral.